GGGGAUCGUAAGACCUUGUGCUUUUGGAGCGGCCGAUGUCUGAUUAGCUAGUUGGUGAGGUAAUGGCUCACCAAGGCGACGAUCAGUAGUUGGUCUGAGAGGACGACCAGCCACAUUGGGACUGAGACACGGCCCAGACUCCUACGGGAGGCAGCAGUGGGGAAUUUUGGACAAUGGGCGAAAGCCUGAUCCAGCCAUGCCGCGUGAGUGAAGAAGGCCUUCGGGUUGUAAAGCUCUUUCAGUCGAGAAAAAAAGGUUGCGACUAAUAAUCGUAACUAAUGACGGUAUCGACAGAAGAAGCACCGGCUAACUACGUGCCAGCAGCCGCGGUAAUACGUAGGGUGCGAGCGUUAAUCGGAAUUACUGGGCGUAAAGGGUGCGCAGGCGGUUUUGUAAGUCAGAUGUGAAAUCCCCGGGCUUAACCUGGGAACUGCGUUUGAA
This 441-nucleotide ribosomal RNA is filed under the name uncultured bacterium. RNAcentral describes it as "bacterial SSU rRNA". It matches the Rfam family "Bacterial small subunit ribosomal RNA", at positions 194 to 631 of the family's 1533-position model. The record is from RNAcentral.